CAACUGCUGACGGUGGAUCUCUCGGCUCGUGUAUCGAUGAAGAACGUAGCCAGUUGCGAUAAGUAAUGUGAAUUGCAGAAUGAUGUGAAUCAUCGAAUCUUUGAACGCAAAUUGCACUCUUUGGAUCUCUCUCCAUUGAGUAUGUCUGUCUGAGUGUCGUGAAACAA
This 167-nucleotide ribosomal RNA is filed under the name Lytocarpia nigra. RNAcentral describes it as "5.8S ribosomal RNA". It matches the Rfam family "5.8S ribosomal RNA". Rfam says of the family: 5.8S ribosomal RNA (5.8S rRNA) is a component of the large subunit of the eukaryotic ribosome. It is transcribed by RNA polymerase I as part of the 45S precursor that also contains 18S and 28S rRNA. The record is from RNAcentral. Lineage: Eukaryota; Metazoa; Cnidaria; Hydrozoa; Leptothecata; Aglaopheniidae.